CUGAAAAGUGUCCCCCCAAAUUACCCUCAAUUUUAUUACAAUGUCUGAUGCCCUCCCUCCAAUAGAUUGAUGAUGCUAUUAUUGUAGAAUUAGAUGAAGACAUUGUUGAAUCAAAACUCUCUUCAGUGUCCUUGUUCCCAGAGCUACCUGAGGCUGACAGGAUUAGAUUCAAAACACAGUAUCAAGAAAUGUUAGUGGGUGAUUUUGAGGUUGACAGCCUUGAGAGGUUGGUAUUGCCAUCUGCUAUAGAGAGGGAAAGGAGGAAGAGUAAUUUUGAACAUUAUAAGGACACCACACUCUCAGCCUUGUUUCUGGAGCUAAUGGUCGGAGUAUUUGAGUAAGUUACGUAGGAUGAUAAAGAUAAUUGAAGAACCACUCCAGUCUGGUUUAUAUGAUGUCCUCCCUACUACUAUUGGAAGGUUUGGCUCCUGAGGAUUUGAGGCUUUUGCUCUGUGGGUGUCAGCAGGUUGAACUUGACGUACUCAAAAAGAUAACAACUUUGACCAACAAGAGUUGUAGAGGUAUUCAGAAGAUAUUGAAGGUGUGGCCACAGACCAGUGUCCCUCCCCCUAAGAUUCACUACUUGAUUUUAGCACCAAUCCCAGUACAGAUUGGACUCAAUAGGUCAAUGGAAAUGAAAAAGAGGGACAGAAUGGGGACAUCAAAUUCAUUCAGCAGUGUGUGUCUUACUGGGUGUCUAGUCUAUGACUAUUGAGCUAUUGGGAUGGGUCUGUCCUGAGUCAGUUGGUAAACUCGAGCACUCAAUAUUCAACCAGUUGCAAGAUGUGUCUUGAAUGGGAGGAGACUAGGCUUUGAUGAACUGAGGACUUUAGUAGUGGACGGUUGUCUUUAUUAUUAUUAUUAAUUUUUUUGAAUGGCCUUUUGUUAAUAAAGCUAGCCUAUGCAAACAAAUGGAAA
Molecule: long non-coding RNA, 918 nt
Organism: Amphimedon queenslandica
Lineage: Eukaryota; Metazoa; Porifera; Demospongiae; Haplosclerida; Niphatidae
Exons: 8
Source: RefSeq, a predicted model, not a curated record